RNAcentral lists this ribosomal RNA (253 nucleotides) under uncultured bacterium. RNAcentral's name for it is "partial 16S ribosomal RNA". It matches the Rfam family "Bacterial small subunit ribosomal RNA", at positions 524 to 776 of the family's 1533-position model. The record is from RNAcentral.
UACGGAGGGGGCAAGCGUUGUCCGGAAUUAUUGGGCGUAAAGAGCUCGUAGGCGGCUUGUCACGUCGGGUGUGAAAGCCCGGGGCUUAACCCCGGGUCUGCAUUCGAUACGGGCAGGCUAGAGUGUGGUAGGGGAGAUCGGAAUUCCUGGUGUAGCGGUGAAAUGCGCAGAUAUCAGGAGGAACACCGGUGGCGAAGGCGGAUCUCUGGGCCAUUACUGACGCUGAGGAGCGAAAGCGUGGGGAGCGAACAGG